GACGAACGCUGGCGGCGUGCUUAACACAUGCAAGUCGUACGGUAAGGCCCUUUCGGGGAUCCACGAGUGGCGAACGGGUGAGUAACACGUGAGUAACCUGCCCACAACUUUGGGAUAACGCUAGGAAACUGGUGCUAAUACUGGAUAUGUGCUCCUGCUGCAUGGUGGGGGUUGGAAAGCUCCGGCGGUUGUGGAUGGACUCGCGGCCUAUCAGCUUGUUGGUGGGGUAGUGGCCUACCAAGGCGGCGACGGGUAGCCGGCCUGAGAGGGUGACCGGCCACAUUGGGACUGAGAUACGGCCCAGACUCCUACGGGAGGCAGCAGUGGGGAAUAUUGCACAAUGGGCGCAAGCCUGAUGCAGCAACGCCGCGGGCGGGAUGACGGCCUUCGGGUUGUAAACCGCUUUCAGCAGGGACGAAGCUUUUUGUGACGGUACCUGCAGAAGAAGCACCGGCUAACUACGUG
This 465-nucleotide ribosomal RNA is filed under the name uncultured bacterium. RNAcentral describes it as "partial 16S ribosomal RNA". It matches the Rfam family "Bacterial small subunit ribosomal RNA", at positions 28 to 507 of the family's 1533-position model. The record is from RNAcentral.